UGGGUUUAAUACCGCAUGUGCUCUUCGGAGUAAAGCUGGCUUCGGCUGGUGCUUUGAGAUAGGCUCGCGUCCUAUCAGCUAGUUGGUGAGGUAACGGCUCACCAAGGCGACGACGGGUAGUUGGUCUGAGAGGACGAUCAGCAACACUGGAACUGAGACACGGUCCAGACACCUACGGGUGGCAGCAGUCGAGAAUCAUUCACAAUGGGGGCAACCCUGAUGGUGCAACGCCGCGUGGAGGAUGAAGGCCCUAGGGUCGUAAACUCCUGUCAUAUGAGAGUAAGACAUAUUAGUUAA
This 297-nucleotide ribosomal RNA is filed under the name uncultured bacterium. RNAcentral describes it as "partial 16S ribosomal RNA". It matches the Rfam family "Bacterial small subunit ribosomal RNA", at positions 158 to 463 of the family's 1533-position model. The record is from RNAcentral.